CCUGGGGAGUACGGUCGCAAGAUUAAAACUCAAAGGAAUUGACGGGGACCCGCACAAGCGGUGGAUGAUGUGGAUUAAUUCGAUGCAACGCGAAAAACCUUACCUACCCUUGACAUGGCAGGAAUCCCGGAGAGAUUUGGGAGUGCUCGAAAGAGAACCUGCACACAGGUGCUGCAUGGCUGUCGUCAGCUCGUGUCGUGAGAUGUUGGGUUAAGUCCCGCAACGAGCGCAACCCUUGUCAUUAGUUGCUACGCAAGAGCACUCUAAUGAGACUGCCGGUGACAAACCGGAGGAAGGUGGGGAUGACGUCAAGUCCUCAUGGCCCUUAUGGGUAGGGCUUCACACGUCAUACAAUGGUACAUACAGAGGGCCGCCAACCCGCGAGGGGGAGCUAAUCCCAGAAAGUGUAUCGUAGUCCGGAUUGUAGUCUGCAACUCGACUGCAUGAAGUUGGAAUCGCUAGUAAUCGCGGAUCAGCAUGUCGCGGUGAAUACGUUCCCGGGUCUUGUACACACCGCCCGUCACACCAUGGGAGCGGGUUUUACCAGAAGUAGGUAGCUUAACCGCAAGGAGGGCGCUUACCACGGUAGGAUUCGUGACUGGGGUGAAGUCGUAACAAGGUAGCCGUAUCGGAAGGUGCGGCUGGAUCACCUCCUUUCUAG
RNAcentral lists this ribosomal RNA (661 nucleotides) under Duganella qianjiadongensis. RNAcentral's name for it is "bacterial SSU rRNA". It matches the Rfam family "Bacterial small subunit ribosomal RNA", at positions 872 to 1533 of the family's 1533-position model. The record is from RNAcentral. Lineage: Bacteria; Pseudomonadati; Pseudomonadota; Betaproteobacteria; Burkholderiales; Oxalobacteraceae.